This 433-nucleotide ribosomal RNA is filed under the name uncultured bacterium. RNAcentral describes it as "partial 16S ribosomal RNA". It matches the Rfam family "Bacterial small subunit ribosomal RNA", at positions 29 to 507 of the family's 1533-position model. The record is from RNAcentral.
AACGAACGCUGGCGGCAGGCCUAACACAUGCAAGUCGAGCGAGCAUUUCGGUGCUAGCGGCGGACGGGUGAGUAACGCGUGGGAACGUUCCCUUUUCUGCGGAAUAGUCCUGGGAAACUGGGGGUAAUACCGCAUACGCCCUUUUGGGGAAAGAUUUAUCGGAGAAGGAUCGGCCGGCGUUGGAUUAGGUAGUUGGUGGGGUAAUGGCCCACCAAGCCGACGAUCCAUAGCUGGUUUGAGAGGAUGAUCAGCCACACUGGGACUGAGACACGGCCCAGACUCCUACGGGAGGCAGCAGUGGGGAAUCUUAGACAAUGGGGGGAAUCCUGAUCUAGCCAUGCCGCGUGAGUGAUGAAGGCCUUAGGGUUGUAAAGCUCUUUCAGCUGGGAAGAUAAGGACGGUACCAGCAGAAGAAGCCACGGCUAACUCCGUG